UGCGCAGGCGGGUUGGCAAGUCAGAGGUGAAAUCUCACGGCUCAACCGUGAAACUGCCUUUGAUACUGCUAAUCUUGAGUUCGGGAGAGGUUGAUGGAAUUCCAGGUGUAGCAGUGAAAUGCGUAGAUAUCUGGAAGAACACCAGUGGCGAAGGCGGUCAACUGGCCCGUAACUGACGCUCAUGCACGAAAGCGUGGGUAGCGAACA
RNAcentral lists this ribosomal RNA (207 nucleotides) under uncultured bacterium. RNAcentral describes it as "partial 16S ribosomal RNA". It matches the Rfam family "Bacterial small subunit ribosomal RNA", at positions 568 to 774 of the family's 1533-position model. The record is from RNAcentral.